CUGAAAAUUUAUAAAAUCCUCACCCAAUCCUCCAGACAACCAUUUCCCCUUCCUCCUUUUGUCAAUCCCCGGCGUCACUCUCUUGCUUGGCGUCGAGUUUGCCGUCAACGAGGAAGCUUUGCCACCGUUUCUCCAGUGCUUCGCAUACGGGGAUACUAAAUAAGAGCAAAUUUGUGGUGUUUGAAAUUUAAGGGGAGAAAAUGAAGAUCUGCUACAUAUACUAUCAUCUAGACAUCCAAACCUCAUUGAGCACACCAGUGAGGAAGCCAAGGAAGCUAAAGAUAUACAAGUGAGAAAGCUAGUGGAUACAUAGCUUAUGCAUCACAGGAACUCUUGGAAGCAAAAGAAACUACAGAUUAAGUUAUAGUUUUGUGUUUUAAAUUGUAGUGGGAGCAUUUGUUUGUAUUUGUGACAUGUUAUAGAAGCAAGUAUAUGAAUGAAUUAGAUUGGCUGGUUUGUUGA
Long non-coding RNA from Arachis duranensis, 462 nucleotides. RefSeq lists it as uncharacterized. Lineage: Eukaryota; Viridiplantae; Streptophyta; Magnoliopsida; Fabales; Fabaceae. The transcript is spliced from 3 exons. The record is from RefSeq and is a predicted model, not a curated record.